AGAACCCAGGUCCUUUGGCUCCCAGGCCUGUGCUCUUUCCACUGGGCCAUGCUGCUUCUGGUUGUGUGACUUUUCUUGGGUAGCCCUAACCUGAGAGCUGUCAGACUCAUCUGGGCCAUAUAAUCUAGGCUUAAACAUUUAGGGUAUCUGGGGACUAUUUUUGCUUGAAAUACCUGGAGUGUUGCCUCAGUCCUUAACCAGGAAACGAGGGGGUGAUAAUCCGGUCCUUCAUACACCCACAGACUGAUGCCUUCCAUACUUUUUCUCAUUCAGAGCACAAUAAUGCUGGAGUCUCUGUUUGGAUUGGCUGAGAUCCUCUAGGCUAAAAUCCCGCAGACGAAUAGGGAUGGAUCAUUAAGCCCCAGGCCGCAGAAUCUCCACUGCCGAAGAGGCAACUGCAGUCUCAAACGGCCGUGCUGAUUGUGAUUGCAAACGACGCACUAGCAUCCGGUGAUGGAGUGACUGAAGCAGACCCUGAUCUCCUCCCACUUCGCCCUCCCCCAGAUGGUUUUCUCGACCACCCCAGCUGGGACUACCGACCUUAGCGCAGUAACACACUUGGGAUCCCUGGGUCCGCCGGGCACUGGGAAGGGCCAGGGAUGGUCCCCUUUUGACUUUUUCCCAUAGAUCUUGCUGCUGCCCUGAAAUGCCUGGAAUGCCGGUCGGGGCGGAGGGACGGGGCUCAUCGGGGACAGUCGCAGGCCAGCGCCUCAGCAGGGAGGAUGGAACAUAAUCAGCCCAGUGCCGACCGGGGCAACUAGCCUUGAGAAAAACAGAAUGGAUCUCGCUUUCAAUGGGAGAAGAACACCGCCUCGGGUGGCCCCGUGUUCUGGAAGAGGCUCUUGUCCCUGGUCGUGACAGAAAGGGUAGGAUCUAGGCAAGGGCAAACGGGACAGAAGGUGAUGCCCAGCAGCUCUCCAUCUCCGCGAGAGGGAAGAGACAAGCGAUGCCGGAGUUAGACAUCAGAAAGAGCAGGGCAUGGACUUCUGAGAGAGAGGGCAGAAUGGGGAGAUUGCAGUUUGUUUUUAUGGUA
Molecule: long non-coding RNA, 1033 nt
Organism: Ornithorhynchus anatinus (platypus)
Lineage: Eukaryota; Metazoa; Chordata; Mammalia; Monotremata; Ornithorhynchidae
Exons: 2
Source: RefSeq, a predicted model, not a curated record